AAGACUGUGAGAGGAGUUGAUUUCAGAACGCAGACAACAAGUCAUGAAACUGGCCGUGUCUACAUUUGCUAAUCAAAGGCCAUAACUCA
Long non-coding RNA from Thalassophryne amazonica, 89 nucleotides. RefSeq lists it as uncharacterized. The transcript is spliced from 3 exons. The record is from RefSeq and is a predicted model, not a curated record. NCBI's taxonomy places the organism in Eukaryota, Metazoa, Chordata, Actinopteri, Batrachoidiformes, Batrachoididae.